AGUGGUCCAAUAUUUGUUUGAAAUCUGUGUUGCUGCUAACCCUCCCUGCGCACCAUCUGCCUGCGGUCUCAUUACCAAUAUUAGCUACCCUUUCCGCCUCAAGGAUGAUCCCUUCCACUGCGGUGAUCACAGAGCUGAAUUAGCCUGCGAAAACAAUGUCACCUCCAUCUCUCUUAAUUCUCACAAAUACUACGUCACACAAAUCAACUACGCCGCCAGCGGCUCCACCAUUAGGCUCGUCGAUGCUUCCAUAAACAAUCACUUCAUCUGCUCUUUUCCCAACUAUUCUUGUCAAAAACAUUCCAGUUCUUGUUUGUGCAGGGGUGAGCUUCCCCUUGAUUAUCGUAAUUGGAUUCACCGGUUUAUUAGGACUCUUAUUUAUUGUCUUUCGACUGACACAAAAAUGGACCCUUUCAUUUGAUGAAGCAGACCAUGAGACCGACACAUGGGCGUUGGUCACUGAUUUGCUAACGGUCGCGGUUGAUAUGUUAAUUAGUGUUGGGGAAGGGGAAUGAAGAUCCAACUCUAAUCUUUCACCAUUACAUAGAUGAGGGAUACUACUAGGCUAAUAUUUGUUCAUUUUCAAAAUUGAGGAAUUGUGAUCAGUUU
Long non-coding RNA from Salvia miltiorrhiza (redroot sage), 609 nucleotides. RefSeq lists it as uncharacterized. NCBI's taxonomy places the organism in Eukaryota, Viridiplantae, Streptophyta, Magnoliopsida, Lamiales, Lamiaceae. The transcript has 4 exons. The record is from RefSeq and is a predicted model, not a curated record.